UGAGGAAUAUUGCACAAUGGAGGAAACUCUGAUGCAGCCAUGCCGCGUGAGUGAAGAAGGCCUUAGGGUUGUAAAGCUCUUUCAAUCGUGAAGAUAAUGACGGUAGCGAUAGAAGAAGCCCCGGCUAAAUUCGUGCCAGCAGCCGCGGUAAUACGAAUGGGGCAAGCGUUGUUCGGAAUCACUGGGCUUAAAGCGUGCGUAGGUGGUCAGGAAAGUCAGAAGUGAAAUCCCGGGGCUCAACCCCGGAACUGCUUUUGAAACUUCCUGACUUGAAUGCAGGAGAGGUUAGCAGAAUUCCGAGUGUAGAGGUGAAAUUCGCAGAUAUUCGGAGGAAUACCAGAGGCGAAGGCGGCUAACUGGACUGGCAUUGACACUGAGGCACGAAAGCGUGGGGAUCAAACAGGAUUAGAUACCCGUGUAGUCC
Molecule: ribosomal RNA, 424 nt
Filed under: uncultured prokaryote
Description: bacterial SSU rRNA
Rfam family: Bacterial small subunit ribosomal RNA
Source: RNAcentral